This 440-nucleotide ribosomal RNA is filed under the name uncultured bacterium. RNAcentral describes it as "partial 16S ribosomal RNA". It matches the Rfam family "Bacterial small subunit ribosomal RNA", at positions 338 to 795 of the family's 1533-position model. The record is from RNAcentral.
CCUACGGGUGGCAGCAGUGGGGAAUAUUGCACAAUGGGGGAAACCCUGAUGCAGCGACGCCGCGUGAGUGAAGAAGUAUUUCGGUACGUAAAGCUCUAUCAGCAGGGAAGAAAAUGACGGUACCUGACUAAGAAGCCCCGGCUAACUACGUGCCAGCAGCCGCGGUAAUACGUAGGGGGCAGGCGUUAUCCGGAUUUACUGGGUGUAAAGGGAGCGUAGACGGCAGUGCAAGUCUGGAGUGAAAUCCCAUGGCUUAACCAUGGAACUGCUUUGGAAACUGUGCAGCUAGAGUGCAGGAGAGGUAAGCGGAAUUCCUAGUGUAGCGGUGAAAUGCGUAGAUAUUAGGAGGAACACCAGUGGCGAAGGCGGCUUACUGGACUGUAACUGACGUUGAGGCUCGAAAGCGUGGGGAGCAAACAGGAUUAGAUACCCCAGUAGUC